Molecule: ribosomal RNA, 464 nt
Filed under: uncultured bacterium
Lineage: Bacteria
Description: partial 16S ribosomal RNA
Rfam family: Bacterial small subunit ribosomal RNA
Source: RNAcentral
CUACGGGGGGCAGCAGUGGGGAAUAUUGCACAAUGGGCGCAAGCCUGAUGCAGCCAUGCCGCGUGUAUGAAGAAGGCCCUCGGGUUGUAAAGUACUUUCAGCGGGGAGGAAGGGAGUAAAGUUAAUACCUUUGCUCAUUGACGUUACCCGCAGAAGAAGCACCGGCAAACUCCGUGCCAGCAGCCGCGGUAAUACGGAGGGUGCAAGCGUUAAUCGGAAUUACUGGGCGUAAAGCGCACGCAGGCGGUUUGUUAAGUCAGAUGUGAAAUCCCCGGGCUCAACCUGGGAACUGCAUCUGAUACUGGCAAGCUUGAGUCUCGUAGAGGGGGGUAGAAUUCCAGGUGUAGCGGUGAAAUGCGUAGAGAUCUGGAGGAAUACCGGUGGCGAAGGCGGCCCCCUGGACGAAGACUGACGCUCAGGUGCGAAAGCGUGGGGAGCAAACAGGAUUAGAUACCCUUGUAGUC